Molecule: ribosomal RNA, 253 nt
Filed under: uncultured bacterium
Lineage: Bacteria
Description: partial 16S ribosomal RNA
Rfam family: Bacterial small subunit ribosomal RNA
Source: RNAcentral
UACGUAGGGAGCAAGCGUUGUCCGGAAUCAUUGGGCGUAAAGCGCACGUAGGCGGAUCGAUCAGUCAGGGGUGAAAUCCCAGAGCUCAACUCUGGAACUGCCUUUGAUACUGUCGAUCUGGAGUAUGGAAGAGGUGAGUGGAAUUCCGAGUGUAGAGGUGAAAUUCGUAGAUAUUCGGAGGAACACCAGUGGCGAAGGCGGCUCACUGGUCCAUUACUGACGCUGAGGUGCGAAAGCGUGGGGAGCAAACAGG